CGACACUCUCUCCCGUCAUGCCGCCGCCUCUUGCGUUCCCCAUCCCCUCGCCGGCGCACCUUCCCCCUCACCGGCCUUGGCGCCUCUCUUCCGUGCCCCUUGGCACCAGGCACGGGUACAUCACCUUCUCCGCCGCCCUCUCCUCCACUAGCCUCCGCAUCGGCCGAGGCACGGCAGAAUGAUGGCUGCAGCCUUGACAAGCCAUGGUUUUCCCUUUAUCCGAUGCCGCAUUGACGAAUUGAAGAGGAGGAGACAGUACGGCGGCAAGAUGGUCCGACGAUUCGUGCGGCCCUCCUUCUUCUCGCACGCCCCUCUCCUGGCCUCUCCAGAGAAGAGGAGGAUAUCUCAGAGACAUGUUUGUGGAUAUGUCGGUUUGCACUCCGUUGAUUGUGGUGAUCGUCGGCUAUCGGCGCUGCAACCGUGUGUUCUCAGACGAGGCCCCCCUGCCUGCAUUGGUUGUCAAAAAGAGCAUCCAUGCUGCCAUGGUGGUCGCCACAAGCAGGCAUCAAGACAGGUUAUUGUGAGCUGUAGGAAUAACGGAAAGUCGGCAGCAUCAUGCUCGACCUGUGAUCCGCCUCGGAGCGCGACGCAUCCUCCCACUCGGCGCCCUAAGCUAGCUACUUCCUCCCCAAGCAGUGUCGACCUACAACAUCAUUUUGUGCAAGGUAACUCGGCCAUAUUCCAUAUGUGUGCAAGGCGAUUUUCAUGGUUUACUAGGAUGCAAAGCUAUUUCCCCUAUUGGCAGGGGCUCCCAACAAAUCUAUUGUAGUGUCAUAUGUGGGCGAAGUGCUUUUCAGGGUUUACUAGGAUGCAGAGCUAUUUCCCCUAUUGGCAGGUAUCUUUUCAUCCCAAUUUCUGUCAUGAAAAUCCCAAUGAUAUUAAAAAUGACCUAGGACAAGUAGCUUGCAAAUUGAAGAACUGUAUAAACAAUCAUAUUUAUUACAUAUUAAACUCCCAAAAUAAUAUAGGAGUAGUAGAUACCAUGGAGAGAUGAUCCUACUUACCAGAAAAUUACUUUGGACGGAGGGGAGGUGAAAUAGCACAUGUACCAUCCAGCUCCUAUAUUUAUAGGAGUAACUAAUGUUCUUAUGUGCCGAAUUUUGGGUCCAACCUAGAGCUAUAACAAUGCUAGGUUCUGGCUCAAUUAACCUUCAGCGGAAAUUACUGACUUAUUUGCUUUGAGUUGGCAUAGAGUUUGUUUAGGCAUUGUUUCUGAUUGGCCCCGUGCUGCAGACUGAGCUUUCUGCACUUUGUGUUGAACUAAAAUUCAGAGAGAGAUGAGACUACAAAUGUCAGCAAUGAAGGUUUGACUGACUUUGUUGUCUUUGUUGCGCUGAACUGAAUUAAGCGUCGGUCACCUCCAGCUGUGACCCGGCCGUUCUGGCUCCAGCGUGGUGCUACCGUAAUACAAUGUACUGAACAGUUUACUACUCUUUGUCAGUAUAAGUGCUCAACUCUUCAAAGUGUGUCCAAGUAGUACUAUUGAGCAAUUGCGUUUCCACGUGCUAAGUUAAACAUAAAUACAAGCUGACUAUUUGUCAUUA
This is an RNA transcript of Lolium perenne, 1544 nucleotides long. RefSeq lists it as uncharacterized. Lineage: Eukaryota; Viridiplantae; Streptophyta; Magnoliopsida; Poales; Poaceae. The record is from RefSeq and is a predicted model, not a curated record.